GUGCAGAAGGACACUAGCCCUAAGCAUGUGCCACUUCAUGCCCCUGUCACGUGCUCCUCCGUCUUCCUGACUCCACUUUCUCGGGUCCAUUCCUGGCCAGAAGAUGAAAGAAGCCACAGUAAAACCUGGCUGCCUGGGUCUAUCUUUCCCUACAUGGAGAAAGCACCAAUUGAAAUGGAAUAUACCUUGAAAAAUCAGAGUUCUGGAGAAUCAGAGAAGGGAGAGAUCACAAACAGCUCCAUGGAAUCCAUGAGCACUGAAGAGAGGUAGGUCAGGCAGCAUCUGGAGGAGGGCACUCUGGAAACAACACUGUGGGCACUGGUACAGACACGAAAAGAAAAACAAAUGUUCAGGGGACAGAUUGCUUGAAACACAAGGUUUGGGUAUGCCAAGAUGACCGAAAAGAGGUGCUAUCUUGGGUUGCUGUUAAUAAUAAGGCAUUUGUGUGUUUCUCCAUAACUAAAAAGGGCUUCCGUGGUGGCUCAGACAGUAAAGAAUCUGCCUGCAAUGCAGGAGACCCGGGUUCCAUCCCUGGGUCAAGAAGAUCUCCUGGAGAAGGGAAUGGCAACCCACUCUCGUAUUCUUGCUUGGAGAAUUCCAUGGACAGAGCAGCCUGGCGGGCUACAAUCCAUGGGUUUGCAAAGAGUCAGAUACGACUGAGCGACUAACACACACACCAUAACUAAAAGAGCAGUGUUGUAUUAGUUACCUAUUCCUGUUGUAUUGUUACCUAUACCAAAAAAUUACUUAUUGGUUUAAAACAACCCAAAUUUAUUAUUGUACAACUCUCUAGAGCAG
This is a long non-coding RNA of Bos taurus (domestic cattle), 798 nucleotides long. Lineage: Eukaryota; Metazoa; Chordata; Mammalia; Artiodactyla; Bovidae. The record is from Ensembl.